This is an RNA transcript of Myxocyprinus asiaticus (Chinese sucker), 6605 nucleotides long. It is a transcript of the gene named glutamate receptor-interacting protein 2-like, with no coding region annotated. The transcript has 22 exons. The record is from RefSeq and is a predicted model, not a curated record. Lineage: Eukaryota; Metazoa; Chordata; Actinopteri; Cypriniformes; Catostomidae.
GCUUUUAAUGAGACUCUGGAUAGUUACACCACAUGACAAUUUUUACUUUAAAGGGGCCAUGGCAUGAGGAAUCAAAUUUUCUGUGAUCUUUUCACAUGUAAGACCUCAUUGUACUAUCAAAACAUACUGUAAGUUUCAGAACUCAAAGCUUCCUCCUCAUUGCAAAAAGAGCAUUUGUUGAAACCAAGCUGCCAAAAUGACUCGUUCUCUUCUUCCUUAGACAUUUGCCUCUGACCGCCUUCAUAAUAACAUAUCAAUCCCUACUUUACUUUAUCAUCUCCGUAGCCCUGCCCAGUAGCGGUGAGCAGUAAGAUUACAAGGAGAGAGCAGGUCAGUCAAGAACAGAGAGCCAAUCACAAUAGUGGGUGUUUACUGUCAAGUCAUAAAGGAGAAGCAGCACCAAAACUGAGCGUUUCUAACAGAGGGUCAUAAUGGGGGUUGAAAAUGAUCAUGUUUACAAAUAUAUGAAGUUUUUUUUUACUUUACUACUAUUAUAAGUGAACCUCAAGGAACAUAUUAAAAUAAUAAAAAAAAAAACAUGUCAUGACCCGUUUAAGCCCCAGAAAAAAAUAUCAAAAUUACUUUGAACUCAGAAAUUGAAAAUAUGCUCAUCAUAGAAGAGGUAUAUUCAAGUUUUUUUAUUUAUUUAUUGAAUAAUUUAAUAGAUCUGGACAAAAAUAUGAGUGUCACAUCAUUGAACCUUGUAAAAUUCUGACUUGUUCAAUUCAAUUUUAUGAUAAAGUCUUUCUUAAUGUAAAUAGUUAAUGCUAUUAGUACUGCCGUUUUGCUUACACCUACAGAUGGCAGAUAGAUUUGAAGUUAUGAUGGAAAAUGAAAAAUAAUUGUACAGUUGCUGCCAAUAUCCUACUAUAUUUAUGAUGUACCAUGUUAUUUACAUUACAGAAUACCAUGACAUGUCCAAAAACAUGGUAUUGCCAUAAUGCAUGUCCAAAAUAAUGUGGUAUUACCAUAGUAUUUUUUGUUAGUGUGAUGUCUCAGGAUGAAUCUUCUCCUGCAGUUCAGGCAGCCUGUGUCUCUGUAGCAUGCAGCAUCAGUCCAUCUGUCCCAUCCAUGAGCAGCCAACACACACACACACCUGCCCUGCCCGAUGUAUUUAACUGCAUUUGUGAUGAAGUCAUUCCCAGGUUUGCAUGACAUGAAUAUGAAGAGGGUCAAAGGUGUUUCAUUCUUAGUAAAACUCUCAAAUCUGAUUAAGCCGCAGUAUUUCCAACAAAGAAUGGACAGACAGCUCCGCUGGGAUUAAGAGAGAUGUAGAGAAUAAGGAGGAGGAUAAAAAGGAAGAGAAUUAUAGAGUGAGGAAGUGACCGUGGUUUUAUUUCGAAACGCAAAGCAAAGACUAAAUAGAGGAUUCACAUUAUAUAGCCCAAAAGAGGAGCCAUGUGGCGUGUAAAUUGUACACUAAAUCCUAAACUACUCCCGGACGGGGUCUCUGCUCGGGGGGCUGUGAAGAAAGGACUGACUGGAGGAGUGAAAGGGAAAAGAAGGAUGUUCUCUUUUUCUCUGCGAUGUCGGAUGGGAGUGAUCCGAGGACGGGUUAAAGGAAUAAUGAUUGAGCAUUUGAAGCAGCAUGGGACUUCACACUGCUCCAGUGAUCUAUUGAAGAUCUGUGUGAAGAUGGGGGCCAGCUGGUUAGCACAGGAUCGAAGACACGCUGAUGAUGUCCCGUACACAAAGGGAAACAAAGACUCAGCUGCCAGUGACAGCAGCGGUCUCACCAAGAGGUGCAGUCUUGCUGAUGAGCAGAGAGGUGUCACCACAGUUGAAUUGAUAAAAAAAGAGGGCAGCAGUCUUGGUCUAACCAUCUCCGGAGGCUGUGACAAGGAAGGCAAGCCAAGAGUGUCAAACCUGAGACCAGGAGGGCUCGCAACCCGGAGUGAUCAGCUCAAUGUGGGAGACUACAUCAAGUCAGUGAACGGUAUAAACCUGUCCAAACUCAGACACGAUGAGAUUAUCAGCAUGCUUAAGAACAUUGGUGAGCGUGUGGUGCUGGAGGUGGAGUACGAGCUGCCUCCGUUCGUUCCCAGCAAUCCCUGCAAUGUCAUCUCUAAAACUAUCGAAGUGUGUUUGGAGAAAGAGGGCAACAGCUUUGGCUUCGUUCUGAGAGGGGGCUUCCAUGAGGACUGGCAUAGGGCUCGACCUCUGGUGGUGACCUACGUCAGGCCCGGAGGACCUGCAGACAGGGAGGGUACCCUGCGAGCGGGCGAUCGUGUGUUGAGUGUGAACGGCGUUGCUCUGAACAGACAGAAACAUGCUGACGCUCUGACCCUGAUCAUGCAGAGCAGCCAGGAGGCUUUCUUCCUUAUCGAGUAUGACAUCACGGUCACGGACUCAGUCCAGAAGUCCUCAGGGCCGCUGCAGGUGGAGAUUGCCCACUCCGCAGGCUCAGUACUGGGUCUCAGUCUCACUACCAUCUUCUACAGGAACAAACAGGUCAUUACAAUCCAGAAAAUCAAACCUGCUAGUGUUGCAGACAGGUGUGGUGCUUUGCAUGUUGGGGAUAUUCUCUUGGCUAUAGAUGGCAUGAGCACAGAGCACUGCUCUCUGAUGGAGGCCCAACAGCUUCUGUCAAACUCUGCAGAACUCACGAAACUAGAGAUCCUUCCCUCUCAACACAGCGUUCAUGACACAGUGCGUGUUCAGAGGAGCAGUCAGCGUCAGUGGGACUCUAGUGAGAACUACACCAGCGUUCCUCCAUCGUUCCAAAAAACACCUUCAGCCUGGAGUCACACCACUCCUACACCAUCACACUGCAGAUCUGUGACGUCUGGCAUCUCCACAAACACGUCAGGCUUUCACAGUUACACCUGUGGGACUCAGUCAUCUUAUCCUAAUACUUACCCCUGCAGCACCCUGCCCUCGUUCCCCUCCAGCCCCCGCUGCACCGUCACCAAAAGGAGACAACAGAGGAAAGACCACAAGAGUUCCUUGUCUCUGGCGUCAAGUACAGUGGGCGCUGGUGGUCAGGUUGUACAUAUAGAGACCAGCAAGGUGGUUCUGAGAGGAGAUCCUCUUACUGGGUUCGGGCUUCAGUUACAGGGAGGAGUGUUUGCUACAGAGCCACUGUCAGCACCUGCCUGCAUCCGCUUUAUAGAGCCAGACACACCCGCAGAAAGGUGUGGGCUGUUACAAGUCGGCGACAGACUUCUUUCCAUUAAUGGAAUUCCCACUGAGGAAGGAACAAUGGAAGAGGCCAAUCAGCUGCUUCGAGACGCAGCAUUGGCCAAUAAGGUCACACUGGAAGUGGAGUUUGAUGUUGCAGAGUCGGUUAUUCCCAGCAGUGGCACAUUUCAGGUGAAGCUGCCCAAAAGAUGUGGAGUAGAGCUGGGCAUUACUAUCAGUGCAAGCAAGAAGCCAGGAAAACCUCUGAUCAUCUCAGAGAUACAGAGAGGGAGUAUUGCACACAGAAUAGGAACCCUGGAGCCAGGUGAUCGAUUAUUGGCCAUUGAUAAUGUACGACUGGAUAAUUGUGGAAUGGAAGAAGCUAUGAUGGUUCUCCAGCAGGCUGAGGGCAUGGUUAAACUGCGCAUUCAGAAAGAUGAAGAUAACUUGGAUGAAUUGGAGUCGUCCGGUUCUGUUAUUUUCACAGUCGAACUCAAGAGACAUGGGGGUCCUCUUGGAAUCACCAUUUCUGGCACUGAAGAACCUUUCAACCCCAUUCUGAUCUCCAGUCUGACCCGCAACGGUCUCGCACACAGGACUGGCGCUCUUCAUAUUGGUGAUCGUGUCUUGGCCAUCAAUAGCAUGAGCUUGAAGGGAAAACCUCUUAGCGAAGCCAUUUACCUCCUGCAGACAGCUGGAGACACGGUCACACUCAAGAUCAAAAAACGGUCUGAUCCGCUUUUGGAGUCAGACAGGGGCAGCCCGUCCCGGACGGCCUCGUGCGUGAGUGACACUGAAGACGAUUGCUCAGAUUCUCUCAGGCGCGGUAAAUACUCAGAAUUUCACCGCCUGACCACACCUCCCAGUUUGGAUUCAGCUAUGGACUCGUGGGAUAGCUCUGCCCUGGAUGCUGGCUAUGGAAGUCAAGAGGGUUAUCUACCCUUAAUUUGUUUUCAGGUGUCUAUAUCCAUAGGACGUCUGAUUUUACACUUCACCCUAAUGACUGGAGACGGGCCAAUCACAGGAGCCCACUGACCUCCAGAAGACACGCCCACCAAACCCCAGUGUAUGAUGGGAGGUUGGGUGAGGACGACUGGAUGUAUUCUGGAGAUACUAGACAGGAACUAGAAGGUUGAAUGACCAUAAAGGCUGAUUUCAGAUUUGUAGGAAAGGGACAUUUACUCCUUUGACCUCUCAUAAAACGUAUCCUAGUAAAGCUUGGUUUAUAAUUUUCUUUUCUGGUAAACGUACCACAUCAUUGCUAUGCAACAGCUUUCUCUGUUUUAUUUGUUUUGCCACCACACAUCAGCAUCAAAAUGCCGUUAAACUCCGUGAUAACAUUUGGCAGAAAGGCUUUUUGUUCCGUGUCUACUUCGUACCCAAAGGAAGCUAGUUAUUUUAUCAUAAGACAAAAUCACUCACUGUUCCUGUAAGCUGUUGACAAAGCUUGACAAAGAGCUUUAGGUUGAAUAUCUGUCCAAUUUGAUGACAUUUUUUGAUUCUUGAGUCACAGUAAACCAUUAAGCAUAUGGACUUGUUCACACACAACACCAAAACAGAACUUUUCUGGUAAUGUUACAACUUCUGAUUCCGGGAAUUUGCUGUAACUGAUUACCGGUAUUUCCCAACAGGUCCUGUUCAGAAAUAUCGUAGUAUUGUAGGUGCAAAAAUGUAUUUAUUAAAAAUAUAUACUGAUUUACAUUAGGUCUUAAAGGUGCACUCAGUAAUUCUAAUCCAAUACAUUUUUUGUCAAAUUCUACAAAUACCUCCUCGCAGUCUGCUAGCUGUCCGUUCUGUGGGUGGGCUGAAAAAAAAUCUAGUACUUGUGCACAGCCCUGGCUCUGUAAAUGGGACAAAAACAAAGUGGAUCAGACCAAUCCACACAACACUACUCCAGCAAUUCAGCAACAGGGGGUGGUUCUUGCAUGUGCACAGGAGGGGGGGUGGGGGCAGAGCGAGAGGGAAAUUCAUUAGAAGAGCAACGGCAAAUCUGGCUGAUGCGAACUUUCUAAACUCCAAGGAGGACAAAUGGCUGAGAAACAAGGAUUAUAAAUCGAGGGCGGAGCUUCCAAAGGAGCACUGAAGGGAGGGGUGUGUUUGUUUAGGCAGUUGAGUUCGAAUAUCAACAGUGUUUCUCAGGAAUCGCUGAGUGCACCUUUUAAAGGAAUGUUCUGAGUUCAAUACAAGUUAAGCUCAAUCAACAGUAUUUGUAGCAUAAUGUUGAUUACCACAAAAAUGAUUGACUCGUCCUUUAUUUAGAAUAAAUAAAAAUUGCUGUUACAGUGAGGCACUUACAAUGGAUGUGAAUGGGGCCAGUCCAUAAGCAUUAAAAUACACACUAUUUCAAAAGUAUAGCCACAACAUGUAAAACGUACGUUUGCAUGAUUUUACUGUCAUGUAAUUACUUACUAAACUUACCUGUGUACAGUUACAGUUUAUCCAAUAUUACAACUUUCUUGUCAUGACAACGUAUCACUGGUAAAGUGAUUUUAUCCCACUAAAAUAAUGAACAGAAAUUUGAACACACUAAAAUCGUAUAUGUUUAUGUUUUGUGGCUAUACUUUUGAAACUGUGAAUUGUAAGUGCCAUGCAGUAACAGUGUUUUUUUUUGUUUUUUAUAAACCAGGGAUGUCAAAAUUAUUUUCUGUGGUAAUCAGUGUUAUUAUUUCAGUGUCUUUUGAGCUUAACUUUCUGAACCCAGAACACUCCUUUUAAAUAUUUUUAAAUGGUGACAGUAAAACUUAAAAUAGUAAAUGGAUUAAAGACUAGAAAUUCUUUAAUUUUAUAUAACAACAUAUGCUCUCAUAAUUAAUUAUACAAAUUUGUUAUGAUAGCUAGUGUCAAAAUAAUUAUGAAUUGGGCACUUUGGCUUGAGGUGUCAGCACUAUCGUUGUCAUUUCUAAUGUGUUUAAUGGAAAUUUCAUGGCAUUCCUCUAAAAGUUUUUGGUUUUUAUAUGUUUGUGUUUUUCGUUUCUGUGGCUUAUUCAACAUUCACAUUGUCUAGCACAGAAACCACAAAUCUGUUUGCUUCCACUGUCUCUGUUCCUACUUUUCUCUUUUCUUCUCAGGUUUUCUGUCUCUCGUAUGCCUUACUAAUCAUCCGUGGGCCACUUGCUGUCAUCCGCCCUGUUGUGCUUCUUUUUCAAUCGCUCAUUUCUUGUUUUCCACUUUCUGCUGAGGCUGAACCAGGUCGUGGCCUCUUCAGACUCAUCUGUUUUUUUUCUUUAACCGCCAUUUUUCUUGUACUUGAGAAGGAUCUUUUAUAGUGACUGUUUCAUACGUACAGUUAUACAUAGAGAGAGAGAGAUCCGUUUCCAAUACUACACCUGGCCUUACAUUACCCAGGUUGUUUGCAUUGACACAGAUCUGUCAGUCCUGCACGUUGUCAUGACAAAAACAAUACAGAAGCUCAGGAGAACUACUGGUCGCAAGCUCUUCAGGACCUGGAGACCUGUGGCCAAUCAGAAAUCCUCCGAGAACUGGAG